AUUGUUAGAAGAGCAAAUAGAAAGUUGUAAGAAAUUGUUUCAGGAGGCACAACCCAAAAGUCGACUUCAAGAUAUGGAGCUGAAAUCCCAAAUUCCAGAGGGUUUUGUGGAAAAUGAAAAGAAAACAAAAAAUGUUGCAGCCUUUACUGAUGAAGAUGCAUUGGAAUUGUGUCUUGCACAAGGAGGGAAAACAUUACAAGAUCUAAAGCAGGAUUUUCUUCCUUAUAUGUCUAAUAUAAGUGAGGUUUCUGAGGAUAAAAAUGAUGAAGAUGUAGAAGACAGCAACCAUGGAAUUGAAGUUUUUUGGGGUGAUGACGGAAUUGGGAAAGAACCAGCAGAGUGUGGCUAAGGAGGAGACUGUCUCUCUUGAUCACAAGAUUCAGGGGAAUGGAGAUGUGAAGAAGUCGAUUCAAAAG
RNAcentral lists this unclassified non-coding RNA (416 nucleotides) under Hevea brasiliensis (rubber tree). The record is from RNAcentral. Lineage: Eukaryota; Viridiplantae; Streptophyta; Magnoliopsida; Malpighiales; Euphorbiaceae.